UGGUAGAGGCGCGGGAUCCAUCAGUAGCGGCCGCGAGGCACGCCCGGAGGGGCGGCGGCGCGCGAAAGGGGAAACCGCCGAAGGGCACGCAGGCCUCCGACCUGCAGUGCUCCUGGGACGGGGGAGAACAUCCCCCGGACUGUCGCCUUCGGGCGGAGCGCUAUCA
RNAcentral lists this non-coding RNA (166 nucleotides) under bovine gut metagenome. RNAcentral's name for it is "Lysine riboswitch". It matches the Rfam family "Lysine riboswitch aptamer". Rfam says of the family: Riboswitches are metabolite binding domains within certain messenger RNAs that serve as precision sensors for their corresponding targets. Allosteric rearrangement of mRNA structure is mediated by ligand binding, and this results in modulation of gene expression. This family includes riboswitches that sense lysine in a number of genes involved in lysine metabolism, including lysC. The record is from RNAcentral.